Molecule: ribosomal RNA, 253 nt
Filed under: uncultured bacterium
Lineage: Bacteria
Description: partial 16S ribosomal RNA
Rfam family: Bacterial small subunit ribosomal RNA
Source: RNAcentral
UACGUAGGGGGCAAGCGUUGUCCGGAUUUAUUGGGUUUAAAGGGUGCGUAGGCGGCCCUGUAAGUCAGUUGUGAAAUACGGCAGCUUAACUGUCGAGGUGCAAUUGAUACUGCAGGGCUUGAGUACUGAUGAGGUAGGCGGAAUGGACGGUGUAGCGGUGAAAUGCUUAGAGAUCGUCCAGAACACCGAUAGCGAAGGCAGCUUACUAAGGAGUAACUGACGCUGAGGCACGAAAGUGUGGGGAUCAAACAGG